This 274-nucleotide long non-coding RNA is filed under the name Elaeis guineensis (African oil palm). Its description in RNAcentral is "long non-coding RNA (EGUI_LNC048091)". Lineage: Eukaryota; Viridiplantae; Streptophyta; Magnoliopsida; Arecales; Arecaceae. The record is from RNAcentral.
AAAGUCUACUUGAAAAAAAAAGAAGCCCGUCAAGAAGCAGAAGAACGAGAAUAUGCCAAAGAAGAAAACUCCUAAGAAGAAGGCUGCAGAUAAGAGAAAGUAUUUCCACUGCAAUAAUGACAACCAUUGGAAGAAGAACUGUCCUAUCUACCUAGAUAGCCCAAAGAACAAGAAAGACAAUACACCUUCAAAAGGCAUGUUGGACCUGCUAGGAAUUAAAACUAACCUUAUGAUUUCUACUUCCAGUUGGGUCUAGUUCUAGUGCUCAUUUGUG